This 402-nucleotide ribosomal RNA is filed under the name uncultured bacterium. Its description in RNAcentral is "bacterial SSU rRNA". It matches the Rfam family "Bacterial small subunit ribosomal RNA", at positions 357 to 776 of the family's 1533-position model. The record is from RNAcentral.
GGGAAUAUUGCACAAUGGGGGAAACCCUGAUGCAGCGACGCCGCGCGAGUGAGGAAGUAUUUCGGUAUGUAAAGCUCUAUCAGCAGGGAAGAAAAUGACGGUACCUGACUAAGAAGCCCCGGCUAACUACGUGCCAUCAGCCGCGGUAAUACGUAGGGGGCAAGCGUUAUCCGGAUUUACUGGGUGUAAAGGGAGCGUAGACGGAUAAGCAAGUCUGAUGUGAAAAUCCGGGGCCCAACCCCGGAAUUGCAUUGGAAACUGCAUAUCUAGAGUGUCGGAGAGGCAAGUGGAAUUCCUGGUGUAGCGGUGAAAUGCGUAGAUAUUAGGAGGAACACCAGUGGCGAAGGCGGCCUGCUGGACUGUAACUGACGUUGAGGCUCGAAGGCGUGGGGAGCAAACAGG